RNAcentral lists this ribosomal RNA (429 nucleotides) under uncultured prokaryote. Its description in RNAcentral is "bacterial SSU rRNA". It matches the Rfam family "Bacterial small subunit ribosomal RNA", at positions 355 to 774 of the family's 1533-position model. The record is from RNAcentral.
UCGAGAAUAGUCUACAAUGGACGAAAGUCUGAUAGUGCGACGCCGCGUGAACGAAGAAGCCCUUCGGGGUGUAAAGUUCUUUUAUAUGUGAGCAAUGCUUUUUAUGUGAACAGCAUGAGAAGAGAGAUAUUAGCAUAUGAAUAAGCAACGGCUAACUCCGUGCCAGCAGCCGCGGUAACACGGGGGUUGCUAGCGUUGUCCGGAAUUACUAGGCGUAAAGGGCAGGUAGGCGGAUAGAUAAGUUUGAUGUUUAAGGCAGCGGCUCACCCGCUGUAAGGCAUUAGAUACUGUUUAUCUGGAAUGCGGUUGGGGAAGACAGAAUUCCUGGUGUAGCGGUGGAAUGCGCAGAGAUCAGGAGGAAUACCGAAGGCGAAGGCAGUCUUCUAAGCCGUAAUUGACGCUAAGACGCGAAAGCUAGGGUAGCAAACG